UCAGAGAUGAUUUCCUUCAGUUCGGCUGGACAAGUGACAGGUGCUGCAUGGCUGUCGUCAGCUCGUGUCGUGAGAUGUUGGGUUAAGUCCCGCAACGAGCGCAACCCUCAUCUUUAGUUGCCAUCAUUCAGUUGGGCACUCUAAAGAAACUGCCGGUGAUAAGCCGGAGGAAGGUGGGGAUGACGUCAAGUCCUCAUGGCCCUUACACGCUGGGCUACACACGUGCUACAAUGGCGGUGACAGUGGGCAGCAACCUCGCGAGGGGUAGCUAAUCUCCAAAAGCCGUCUCAGUUCGGAUUGUUCUCUGCAACUCGAGAGCAUGAAGGCGGAAU
RNAcentral lists this ribosomal RNA (332 nucleotides) under uncultured bacterium. Its description in RNAcentral is "bacterial SSU rRNA". It matches the Rfam family "Bacterial small subunit ribosomal RNA", at positions 1000 to 1332 of the family's 1533-position model. The record is from RNAcentral.